CGGGGGGGGCAAGCGUUGUUCGGAAUUACUGGGCGUAAAGGGCGCGUAGGCGGUCUGCUAAGUUGGAUGUGAAAACUCUGGGCUUAACCCAGAGCCUGCAUUCAAUACUGACAGGCUAGAGUUCUGGAGGGGAUAGCGGAAUUCCUGGUGUAGCGGUGAAAUGCGUAGAUAUCAGGAGGAACACCGGUGGCGAAGGCGGCUAUCUGGACAGAAACUGACGCUGAGGCGCGAAAGCUAGGGGAGCAAACAGGAUUAGAUACCCUGGUAGUCCUAGCCCUAAACGAUGGAUACUUGGUGUGACUGGGAUUGAAUCCAGUCGUGCCGAAGCUAACGCAUUAAGUAUCCCGCCUGGGGAGUACGGUCGCAAGGCUG
This 372-nucleotide ribosomal RNA is filed under the name uncultured organism. RNAcentral describes it as "bacterial SSU rRNA". It matches the Rfam family "Bacterial small subunit ribosomal RNA", at positions 526 to 896 of the family's 1533-position model. The record is from RNAcentral.